This 433-nucleotide ribosomal RNA is filed under the name uncultured bacterium. RNAcentral describes it as "partial 16S ribosomal RNA". It matches the Rfam family "Bacterial small subunit ribosomal RNA", at positions 29 to 507 of the family's 1533-position model. The record is from RNAcentral.
AAUGAACGCUGGCGGCAUGCCUAACACAUGCAAGUCGAACGAAGGCUUCGGCCUUAGUGGCGCACGGGUGCGUAACGCGUGGGAAUCUGCCCUUGGGUUCGGAAUAACAGUUAGAAAUGACUGCUAAUACCGGAUGAUGUCGUAAGACCAAAGAUUUAUCGCCCAAGGAUGAGCCCGCGUAGGAUUAGCUAGUUGGUGGGGUAAAGGCCUACCAAGGCGACGAUCCUUAGCUGGUCUGAGAGGAUGAUCAGCCACACUGGGAGUGAGACACGGCCCAGACUCCUACGGGAGGCAGCAGUGGGGGAUGUUGGAAAGUGGGCGAAAGGAUGAACCAGCAAUGCCGCGUGAGUGAUGAAGGCAUUAGGGUUGUAAAGCUCUUUUACCCGGGAUGAUAAUGACAGUACCGGGAGAAUAAGCUCCGGCUAACUUCGUG